UACGGAGGGGGCUAGCGUUGUUCGGAAUUACUGGGCGUAAAGCGCGCGUAGGCGGACCUGCAAGUCGGGGGUGAAAGCCCGAGGCUCAACCUCGGAACUGCCUUCGAUACUGCGGGUCUCGAGUCCGGGAGAGGUGAGUGGAAUUCCUAGUGUAGAGGUGAAAUGCGUAGAUACCUGGAGGAACACCGGUGGCGAAGGCGGCAUCCUGGACCAACACUGACACUGAGGAGCGAAAGCCAGGGGAGCAAACGGG
This 253-nucleotide ribosomal RNA is filed under the name uncultured bacterium. Its description in RNAcentral is "partial 16S ribosomal RNA". It matches the Rfam family "Bacterial small subunit ribosomal RNA", at positions 524 to 776 of the family's 1533-position model. The record is from RNAcentral.